GACGAACGCUGGCGGCGUGCUUAACACAUGCAAGUCGAACGGUAAGGCCCUUCGGGGUACACGAGUGGCGAACGGGUGAGUAACACGUGGGUGAUCUGCCCUGCACUUCGGGAUAAGCCUGGGAAACUGGGUCUAAUACCGGAUAGGACCCUGGGAUGCAUGUCCUGGGGUGGAAAGCUUUUGCGGGGUGGGAUGGGCCCGCGGCCUCUCAGCUUGUUGGUGGGGUGAUGGCCUACCAAGGCGACGACGGGUAGCCGGCCUGAGCGGGUGACCGGCCAAACUGGGACUGGGAUACGGCCCAGACUCCUACGGGAGGCAGCAGUGGGGAAUAAUGCACAAUGGGCGCAAGCCUGAUGCAGCGACGCCGCGUGAGGGAUGACGGCCUUCGGGUUGUAAACCUCUUUCAGCACCGACGAAGCGCAAGUGACGGUAGGUGCAGAGGAAGGACCGGCCAACUACGUGCCAGCCGCCGCCGUAA
RNAcentral lists this ribosomal RNA (478 nucleotides) under uncultured bacterium. Its description in RNAcentral is "partial 16S ribosomal RNA". It matches the Rfam family "Bacterial small subunit ribosomal RNA", at positions 28 to 523 of the family's 1533-position model. The record is from RNAcentral.